AGAGUUUGAUCAUGGCUCAGGAUGAACGCUGGCGGCGUGCCUAACACAUGCAAGUCGAGCGAAGCACUUUACUUUGAUUCUUCGGAUGAAGAGUUUUGUGACUGAGCGGCGGACGGGUGAGUAACGCGUGGGUAACCUGCCUCAUACAGGGGGAUAACAGUUAGAAAUGACUGCUAAUACCCCAUAACAUCGCAGACGGCAUCGUUUGCGGUUGAAAACUCCGG
This 224-nucleotide ribosomal RNA is filed under the name uncultured bacterium. Its description in RNAcentral is "partial 16S ribosomal RNA". It matches the Rfam family "Bacterial small subunit ribosomal RNA", at positions 8 to 214 of the family's 1533-position model. The record is from RNAcentral.